This 369-nucleotide ribosomal RNA is filed under the name Anopheles funestus (African malaria mosquito). Its description in RNAcentral is "eukaryotic LSU rRNA". It matches the Rfam family "Eukaryotic large subunit ribosomal RNA", at positions 645 to 955 of the family's 3401-position model. The record is from RNAcentral. Lineage: Eukaryota; Metazoa; Arthropoda; Insecta; Diptera; Culicidae.
UGUCCCGUCUUGAAACACGGACCAAGAAGUCUAUCUUGCGCGCAAGCCAAUGGGUAAAUGGUGCGGUACGCCGCCCAUAACUGGAAACCCACAGGCGAAGACAAAUCGAGUGUUGCGGGAUUACGGGUACGGCCGAUGGCGCAAGCCUUCGUCGGACCCCUCCAUCCCAGGGUGUCCCGUUCGGGUGCUUGCACCCAGCGGACAUCCCCGGAGUGCGUAGGAUGUGACCCGAAAGAUGGUGAACUAUGCCUGAUCAGGUCGAAGUCAGGGGAAACCCUGAUGUGAGGACCGAAGCAAUUCUGACGUGCAAAUCGAUUGUCAGAGUUGGGCAUAGGGGCGAAAGACCAAUCGAACCAUCUAGUAGCUGGU